CUUGGUCAUUUAGAGGAAGUAAAAGUCGUAACAAGGUUUCCGUAGGUGAACCUGCGGAAGGAUCAUUACCGAGUUGAUUCGGGCUCCGGCCCGAUCCUCCCACCCUUUGUGUACCUACCUCUGUUGCUUUGGCGGGCCGCGGUCCUCCGCGGCCGCCCCCCUCCCCGGGGGGUGGCCAGCGCCCGCCAGAGGACCAUCAAACUCCAGUCAGUAAACGAUGCAGUCUGAAAAACAUUUAAUAUACUAAAACUUUCAACAACGGAUCUCUUGGUUCUGGCAUCGAUGAAGAACGCAGCGAAAUGCGAUAAGUAAUGUGAAUUGCAGAAUUCAGUGAAUCAUCGAAUCUUUGAACGCACAUUGCGCCCUUUGGUAUUCCGAAGGGCAUGCCUGUUCGAGCGUCAUUACAACCCUCAAGCUCUGCUUGGUAUUGGGCACCGUCCUUUGCGGGCGCGCCUCAAAGACCUCAGCGGUGGCGUCUUGCCUCAAGCGUAGUAGAACAUACAUCUCGCUUCGGAGCGCAGGGCGUCGCCCGCCGGACGAACCUUCUGAACUUUUCUCAAGGUUGACCUCGGAUCAGGUAGGGAUACCCGCUGAACUUAAGCAUAUCAAUAAGCGGAGGA
RNAcentral lists this ribosomal RNA (620 nucleotides) under fungal endophyte sp. g104. RNAcentral describes it as "eukaryotic LSU rRNA". The stretch from base 248 to 401 matches the Rfam family "5.8S ribosomal RNA". Lineage: Eukaryota; Fungi. The record is from RNAcentral.